UCCCCUUUAAUUUUUUUGUCCAUUUUGAUCUGUGAUCAUAUGUUUAAUAUGUAAAUUGUUGCGGUCCGAUCAGCCAUGCUUAUGAGGUUGAAACUCAUGUCCAAUCCGACGUGAAAGUAUUGUUCGUUUUAGAGAUCCAUCGAAACGUACCUCGUAUGACGUGGGUACACCCCUCACAGCUUUGCCUUCUUGUAUCCGUACCAAAACGACCAAACUCAAAAGGUACCUACACGUGGGAGGAUGGCUGCCAAGUCUUAUAAGACGAGAUGGAAUGACUGAAUAGCCGAUGUAGGACUAAAGAGUCCGCACUCCCUCCGCAAC
This 321-nucleotide long non-coding RNA is filed under the name Elaeis guineensis (African oil palm). RNAcentral's name for it is "long non-coding RNA (EGUI_LNC009688)". The record is from RNAcentral. Lineage: Eukaryota; Viridiplantae; Streptophyta; Magnoliopsida; Arecales; Arecaceae.